CAGACUUAAUUCCAAUUAAACAUCGAUUAACAAUUAAUCUAAUUCCUAAUUAAAAACUGUAGAAGAGGGAUUAGGUUAGAUACGAGUGAACCUUCACAUUGCAAUUCAGCUUCUUCCUCUUCUCUCAAAACGGCGACGGCGGUAGGACCUCGGCGAAGACCUUCGUUCCACCGUGAACCACCAAACUCCAUCGUCUCAGUCUGCUUCAAUUAUCUAUCGACCUAAAUCUUCUCUCAUCUCCGAUUUCCUCUCACCGUGAACUUGCUUCACCUUCUGCUCAAGAUUCCAAACGAAACUCUUCGUUCUUCCGCGUUUUGAUGUUGUUGAUGAGGAAUCGUUAUGCUGCGAAUGAUUAGCGUAUUGAAUCGAAUAGGCGUUGUUAUGUCAAACACAGAGUAAGGAAGAGCGAAGAGGAUUGUCAUUAUCGGAACAGGUUCUCAUUGUUGAAGGUGUUGCUAAUUGAAGGAUUAUUGAUGAUGAUCUGCGAUGAAGGUGGAGUGCGAUUGCGAUUCCGAGAAGACUCGCUGAAUGAUGUUGUUGUUGUGUUUCGGAGCGGAGUGAUGGUGAUUGCGUUGCAGAAUUAUUGAUGAACAGUGUUGAAGAUCGAUGAAGAUUCUUGUGAAGAUAUAUUCUGAAGAAGCUUGAGAAUUGAUGAUUAUUCGGUUACAGAGUGCAGGUUUAUGAAUCUCCAGAGAUCGAAGGUUGAAUGGAGGUUGGGGAUGAAAGUUCAGAGAUGGUGAAGAAGGUUGAAGAUGAAGAUCGAAUGUGAUGAGAUGCGAAGAAGAUGGAGAAGUUUGUUACACGGUUGGAGAAGAUUGAAAGUGUGGAGGAGAUUGAAGACUGAAGAGGCUCAAGGUUCUUGGAGAGAGUUUUUGAUCGUGAUUCUUUUUUUUUGCUGAAAAACUCCCUUCCACCAUUUCUCAUGUGAAUCUGUUAUGAGUUUCUUGCUCUCCUCAUUUGCUGGAGUUAUGAACCCGUUUUUAUUCGGUUUAUUUGUUCUACUUUGCUGCAGAAUUGAACCAGCUUCUAGAUGGUACGGUUCCGUGGAAAUUUUUGGUUCAGCUCGGAUUCUCUGGUGCUUAAACCGUGAUGUAGUUUUGAUGGGAAAUUGGCAUAGCAUGGUUUCGUUAAUUAUCGACCCCCACGGGUUUUGGUUCUGCGCAAGAUUGGCUUUAUUUUUUAGUCACUGUGUUUGAAUAUUUUUUGUAAUAAUAAUGGACUGUAUUGAAACUUUGUAAUGGGCUGAACCUUGUAAUUUGAAUAUGGACUUUGGUAUAUAAUUGGACAUUUGAGUAUUGUAAUGAAUGAAUUGAUGAAUAUGGUUGAAUGAUCUUGAAUCUUGAAACUUUAAUGCUAAAAUCCAUAUGAAUGAAUCCUUCAACUUGAAUCAACUCUUUGACCAAUCAAGCACUUAAACUUUGGAUCCGAUCAAAUAAUGUUGAAUUUAAAUCGAAUUUAUGGAAUCAAACUUCAAACCCCUAUCAUCUUAUUCUUCGAAUGCAACCUUAACUUCAAUUGCUAAGCCAAGUCAACACAUAUUGCAAGCCGAAAGCAAAAUACAAGAAUAAGCAUGCCUUGAACAAAAAUGAACCCACAAGCCUAACUUUCACGCCAUGACAUGCACUGUACUUCAAUUCGACAUAACAAUAAUGCUUUGAGGAAUUCUUGAGGAAGAUAAGAAAUGAAGCACAUAAGAACAACUCAGCAUGAAAUCCAAUGAAUCUCAGUUGAAUUAGCGAUUGCGGCCACCACAUAUAAGAAACUCUUUAUUAUUUUCUUCAAUUUUUGAAUGACGAAAUAAACGUCUUUUAACUUAUGACACAGAGAAAGAGGGCAAA
This is a long non-coding RNA of Vicia villosa (hairy vetch), 1838 nucleotides long. RefSeq lists it as uncharacterized. The transcript has 3 exons. The record is from RefSeq and is a predicted model, not a curated record. NCBI's taxonomy places the organism in Eukaryota, Viridiplantae, Streptophyta, Magnoliopsida, Fabales, Fabaceae.